GACGAACGCUGGCGGCGUGCCUAAUACAUGCAAGUCGAACGCUUUUUCUUUCACCGGAGCUUGCUCCACCGAAAGAAAAGGAGUGGCGAACGGGUGAGUAACACGUGGGUAACCUGCCCAUCAGAAGGGGAUAACACUUGGAAACAGGUGCUAAUACCGUAUAACAAUCGAAACCGCAUGGUUUCGGUUUGAAAGGCGCUUAUGGUGUCACUGAUAGAUGGACCCGCGGUGCAUUAGCUAGUCGGUGGGGUAACGGCCUACCGAGGCGAUGAUGCAUAGCCGACCUGAGAGGGUGAUCGGCCACAUUGGGACUGAGAUACGGCCCAAACUCCUACGGGAGGCAGCAGUAGGGAAUCUUCGGCAAUGGACGCAAGUCUGACCGAGCAACGCCGCGUGAGUGAAGAAGGUUUUCGGAUCGUAAAGCUCUGUUGUUAGAGAAGAACAAGUAAGAUAGUAACUGAUCUUGCCUUGACGGUAUCUAACCAGAAAGCCACGGCUAACUACGUGCCAGCAGCCGCAGUAAUAC
This 526-nucleotide ribosomal RNA is filed under the name uncultured bacterium. Its description in RNAcentral is "bacterial SSU rRNA". It matches the Rfam family "Bacterial small subunit ribosomal RNA", at positions 28 to 526 of the family's 1533-position model. The record is from RNAcentral.